UACGUAGGGGGCGAGCGUUGUCCGGAUUUAUUGGGCGUAAAGAGCUCGUAGGCGGCUGCUCAAGUCGAAUGUGAAAACUCGAGGCUCAACCUCGAGCCUGCAUUCGAUACUGGGCGGCUAGAGUCUGGUAGGGGGAUCUGGAAUUCCUGGUGUAGCGGUGGAAUGCGCAGAUAUCAGGAGGAACACCGGUGGCGAAGGCGGGAUCCUGGGCCAGUACUGACGCUGAGGAGCGAAAGCGUGGGGAGCAAACAGG
RNAcentral lists this ribosomal RNA (253 nucleotides) under uncultured bacterium. RNAcentral describes it as "partial 16S ribosomal RNA". It matches the Rfam family "Bacterial small subunit ribosomal RNA", at positions 524 to 776 of the family's 1533-position model. The record is from RNAcentral.